GCUUGUUCUUGCCUUCUCGGGACUGGAAGCAUCGCGGUACCAAGUCCCUAACUUGAAGUUCCCAUGGCCGAACAUGUUCUUCCAGAUACAAAACAUCUUGUUGGCGCAUGAGUUCUUGAUCUUCUUCUUCGUAGGUGCGUACCCUCGGGCUCACUAGGGUUAGCUCCAAGGGGAGGACUGCUUCUGCCCUGUAGACCAGGAAGAAAGAAGUUUCUCCCAUGACCCUAUUGGGG
This 233-nucleotide long non-coding RNA is filed under the name Setaria italica (foxtail millet). Its description in RNAcentral is "long non-coding RNA (SITA_LNC005747)". Lineage: Eukaryota; Viridiplantae; Streptophyta; Magnoliopsida; Poales; Poaceae. The record is from RNAcentral.